AUGCAGCUCCGGCUCCGGCUCCCUACGCUGAUGGUGCAUCCCCGCCUUACGGCGCCUUCCUGCUGGCCCCGGCUGCCUAUGCUGAGGCACCAACGACGGCGCACCAUGCACCUGCACUGGGGAAGCAUCACCACGAUGCCAAGUCCCCGGCCGAGCCACCGGCAUUCCGCAACGCGUCUGAGCACGGGAAGCGUCACCACCAUGAUAGCUCGCCGGUGGAGGCACCGGCGCCAUACCACAGCAAUGCGUCCGAGCACAAGCACCAUGGUCACCUCGGCCACGGCAAUGCAUCUGAGCAUAAGCACCACGGUCACCUCGGGCACUACCACCAGCACCACGAAGCUCCACCCCCGGCUCACAGUGCACCACCGCCUCACUUGCCGCCUCCUGCUUAUCACUCACCACCGCCGCCUGCUCACCAUUUGUCACCCCCUGCUCACCCUUCGCCGCCGCCCCCGGCACACCACUUGCCACCCCCUGCUCACNNNNNNNNNNNNNNNNNNNNNNNNNNNNNNNNNNNNNNNNNNAACCAUUCGCCGCCGCCCCCGGCUCACCACUCGCCGCCACCCCCUGCUCACCAUUCGCCGUCGCCCCCGGCACACCACUUGCCACCUCCGCCUCCAUCCCAUUAUCCACCGCAUGUUCCGACACCUCCGGGCCAUAAGCACCCAACACCACCCCUGGCUCAUCAUGGUAAAGCACCGCCACCACCGCCACGCCGCCAUGGGAAAUUCCCGCCACCACCUCGAUCAGGGUACUCGGCGGCGGCACCAUCGCCAUCUUACUACGGUGCGGAUGCACCAUAUACCAACUAAGCCAAGCUUGGCGAGCCUCAGUAUCACGGUGUGUCAUCACGUUCCAAACCGAGUGUCGCCCCCGUGGUAUCUAUGGUGGAAGGGCCAAGCAUGUAACUGA
RNAcentral lists this ribosomal RNA (915 nucleotides) under Triticum aestivum (bread wheat). RNAcentral describes it as "partial small subunit ribosomal RNA". Lineage: Eukaryota; Viridiplantae; Streptophyta; Magnoliopsida; Poales; Poaceae. The record is from RNAcentral.